UACGUAGGGUGCGAGCGUUGUCCGGAAUUAUUGGGCGUAAAGGGCUCGUAGGCGGUUUGUCGCGUCGGGAGUGAAAACACCGGGCUUAACUCGGUGCUGGCUUUCGAUACGGGCAGACUAGAGGUAUUCAGGGGAGAACGGAAUUCCUGGUGUAGCGGUGAAAUGCGCAGAUAUCAGGAGGAACACCGGUGGCGAAGGCGGUUCUCUGGGAAUUACCUGACGCUGAGGAGCGAAAGUGUGGGGAGCGAACAGG
RNAcentral lists this ribosomal RNA (253 nucleotides) under uncultured bacterium. RNAcentral's name for it is "partial 16S ribosomal RNA". It matches the Rfam family "Bacterial small subunit ribosomal RNA", at positions 524 to 776 of the family's 1533-position model. The record is from RNAcentral.